Molecule: ribosomal RNA, 497 nt
Filed under: uncultured bacterium
Lineage: Bacteria
Description: partial 16S ribosomal RNA
Rfam family: Bacterial small subunit ribosomal RNA
Source: RNAcentral
GAUGAACGCUGGCGGCGUGCCUAAUACAUGCAAGUCGAGCGAACAGACGAGGAGCUUGCUCCUCUGACGUUAGCGGCGGACGGGUGAGUAACACGUGGAUAACCUACCUAUAAGACUGGGAUAACUUCGGGAAACCGGAGCUAAUACCUGAUAAUAUAUUGAACCGCAUGGUUCAAUAGUGAAAGACGGUUUUGCUGUCACUUAUAGAUGUAUCCGCGCCGCAUUAUCUAGUUGGUAAGGUAACGGCUUACCAAGGCAACGAUGCGUAGCCGACCUGAGAGGGUGAUCGGCCACACUGGAACUGAGACCCGGUCCAGACUCCUACGGGAGGCAGCAGUAGGGAAUCUUCCGCAAUGGGCGAAAGCCUGCCGGAGCAACGCCGCGUGAGUGAUGAAGGUCUUCGGAUCGUAAAACUCUGUUAUUAGGGAAGAACAAAUGUGUAAGUAACUAUGCACGUCUUGACGGUACCUAAUCAGAAAGCCACGGCUAACUACGUG